GGCAUCUUGGAAGGUGGUA
Molecule: non-coding RNA, 19 nt
Filed under: Arabidopsis thaliana (thale cress)
Lineage: Eukaryota; Viridiplantae; Streptophyta; Magnoliopsida; Brassicales; Brassicaceae
Source: RNAcentral